This 253-nucleotide ribosomal RNA is filed under the name uncultured bacterium. RNAcentral describes it as "partial 16S ribosomal RNA". It matches the Rfam family "Bacterial small subunit ribosomal RNA", at positions 524 to 776 of the family's 1533-position model. The record is from RNAcentral.
UACGAAGGGGGCUAGCGUUGCUCGGAAUCACUGGGCGUAAAGCGCACGUAGGCGGGUUCUUAAGUCAGGGGUGAAAUCCUGGAGCUCAACUCCAGAACUGCCUUUGAUACUGGGAAUCUCGAGUCCGGGAGAGGUGAGUGGAACUGCGAGUGUAGAGGUGAAAUUCGUAGAUAUUCGCAAGAACACCAGUGGCGAAGGCGGCUCACUGGUCCGGUACUGACGCUGAGGUGCGAAAGCGUGGGGAGCAAACAGG